This 530-nucleotide ribosomal RNA is filed under the name bacterium enrichment culture clone Cont56_3130. Its description in RNAcentral is "bacterial SSU rRNA". It matches the Rfam family "Bacterial small subunit ribosomal RNA", at positions 8 to 525 of the family's 1533-position model. The record is from RNAcentral.
AGAGUUUGAUCCUGGCUCAGAAUGAACGCUGGCGGCGUGCUUAACACAUGCAAAGUCGAACGAGAAAAGUUUCCUUCGGGGAAGCGAGUAGAGUGGCGCACGGGUGAGUAACGCGUAAGUAAUCUACCCCGGCAUCUGGAAUAACUCACCGAAAGGUGUGCUAAUACCGGAUACGUUGGUAACAAGAAAGGUGGCCUCUGCAUAUGCUACUGUACAGGGACGAGCUUGCGUACCAUUAGCUAGUUGGUAGGGUAAUGGCCUACCAAGGCGACGAUGGUUAGCGGGUCUGAGAGGAUGAUCCGCCACACUGGAACUGGAACACGGACCAGACUCCUACGGGAGGCAGCAGUGAGGAAUAUUGCGCAAUGGGGGCAACCCUGACGCAGCGACGCCGCGUGGAUGAUGAAGGCCCUUGGGUCGUAAAAUCCUGUCAGAUGGAAAGAAAUGUACGGGUGUUAAUAUCGCCUGGUAUUUGACGGUACCAUCAAAGGAAGCAACCGGCUAACUCCGUGCCAGCAGCCGCGGUAAUA